AGGAUUUCACCCUUUACCUUUAUGAGUCUCAAGAUGUCCCCUUACUAACCCUUAUAUUGAUCCCAGUUAACUAUUACCUUUUGAGUCUUUAGUUAUUAGAUGAAACCUAACCAUCUUACUAAGAUAGAACCUAGAAGAGUGGACCGACAGUUAAACUCCAAAUUAUUAUUGUCUCUAUCUUUUCGUAGUCAUUGCUUCUUUUUUGGAAUAAGCAACAAUAUCUAGGCGGGA
This 231-nucleotide long non-coding RNA is filed under the name Capsicum annuum. Its description in RNAcentral is "long non-coding RNA (CANN_LNC015304)". Lineage: Eukaryota; Viridiplantae; Streptophyta; Magnoliopsida; Solanales; Solanaceae. The record is from RNAcentral.